GCAGAGGUAUUAGUAAAAUUUACAUAACCUUGUCAAGGUUAAAUUAUAGGUUCAACCCCUAUAUACCUC
RNAcentral lists this transfer RNA (69 nucleotides) under Dobsonia sp. 050810x2F. RNAcentral describes it as "tRNA-Asp". It matches the Rfam family "tRNA". From Rfam's summary of the family: Transfer RNA (tRNA) molecules are approximately 80 nucleotides in length. Lineage: Eukaryota; Metazoa; Chordata; Mammalia; Chiroptera; Pteropodidae. The record is from RNAcentral.